AGCGAACAGACGAGGAGCUUGCUCCUCUGACGUUAGCGGCGGACGGGUGAGUAACACGUGGAUAACCUACCUAUAAGACUGGGAUAACUUCGGGAAACCGGAGCUAAUACCGGAUAAUAUAUUGAACCGCAUGGUUCAAUUGUGAAAGACGGUUUUGCUGUCACUUAUAGAUGGAUCCGCGCCGCAUUAGCUAGUUGGUAAGGUAACGGCUUACCAAGGCAACGAUGCGUAGCCGACCUGAGAGGGUGAUCGGCCACACUGGAACUGAGACACGGUCCAGACUCCUACGGGAGGCAGCAGUAGGGAAUCUUCCGCAGUGGGCGAAAGCCUGACGGAGCAACGCCGCGUGAGUGAUGAAGGUCUUCGGAUCGUAAAACUCUGUUAUUAGGGAAGAACAAAUGUGUAAGUAACUAUGCACGUCUUGACGGUACCUAAUCAGAAAGCCACGGCUAACUACGUGCCAGCAGCCGCGGUAAUACGUAGGUGGCAGGCGUUAUCCGGAAUUAUUGGGCGUAAAGCGCGCGUAGGCGGUUUUUUAAGUCUGAUGUGAAAGCCCACGGCUCAACCGUGGAGGGUCAUUGGAAACUGGAAAACUUGAGUGCAGAAGAGGAAAGUGGAAUUCCAUGUGUAGCGGUGAAAUGCGCAGAGGUAUGGAGGAACACCAGUGGCGAAGGCGACUU
Molecule: ribosomal RNA, 680 nt
Filed under: uncultured Staphylococcus sp.
Lineage: Bacteria; Bacillati; Bacillota; Bacilli; Caryophanales; Staphylococcaceae
Description: bacterial SSU rRNA
Rfam family: Bacterial small subunit ribosomal RNA
Source: RNAcentral